Molecule: ribosomal RNA, 407 nt
Filed under: uncultured prokaryote
Also listed under: 1 other name
Description: bacterial SSU rRNA
Rfam family: Bacterial small subunit ribosomal RNA
Source: RNAcentral
UGGGGAAUAUUGGGCAAUGGGGGGAACCCUGACCCAGCAACGCCGCGUGAAGGAAGACGGUUUUCGGAUUGUAAACCUCUGUCCUUGGUGAAGAAAGAAAUGACGGUAGCCGAGGAGGAAGCCACGGCUAACUACGUGCCAGCAGCCGCGGUAAUACGUAGGUGGCGAGUGUUGUCCGGAAUUACUGGGUGUAAAGGGAGCGUAGGCGGGUCGGCAAGUCAGUGGUGAAAUACAUGGGCUUAACCCAUGAAUUGCCAUUGAAACUGCCGGUCUUGAGUGGAUCAGAGGCAAGCGGAAUUCCGAGUGUAGCGGUGAAAUGCGUAGAUAUUCGGAGGAACACCAGUGGCGAAGGCGGCUUGCUGGGGUCUAACUGACGCUGAGGCUCGAAAGUGUGGGGAGCAAACAGG